UUAUUUCUAUCUCCUUUGAUCAUCAUCAGUUCAGUCAUCACCACUCAACCAACCCCCGCAAAUAUCCUCUCUCACUCCAGCUCAGCUUGCAAAAGCCCUGCCUCUCUUUACCUGAGGUUUGCUGUCGAUUCUGGUUCUUGAUUUCAUAGUUCAUGACGACGACCACCUCUUUUGGAGCUGCCAACACUGCGGUGUUGAAGGACCCGAAGAUCCAGAUACGGAGCUUUGAUGGUUUGAGGUCUUCAAAUUCUUCACUUGCUCUGACCAGACAUGUGAAUGUGUUUCCUGUUUCUUCUUCCAGACUUUCGCUUAUACGAGCUGUAUCCACGCCAGUGAAGCCACAGACCGAAACUAAGCGCAGUAAGGUUGAAAUAAUAAAAGAACAAAGUAAUUACAUCAGGUACCCCCUGAAUGAAGAGUUGCUGACUGAUACCCCCAAUAUUAACGAGUCUGCUACCCAACUUAUCAAGUUCCAUGGGAGCUAUCAACAGUAUAACAGAGAUGAACGUGGUGCAAAAUCUUACUCUUUUAUGCUUCGAACUAAGAACCCUUGUGGCAAGGUCCCAAACAAACUGUACUUGACCAUGGAUGAUCUUGCCGAUCAGUUUGGAAUUGGAACUCUUCGUUUGACAACCAGACAGACAUUUCAGCUCCAUGGUGUUUUAAAGCAGAACCUCAAGACUGUAAUGAGUAGCAUCAUUCAUAGCAUGGGUUCAACUCUUGGUGCAUGUGGUGAUCUCAACAGGAAUGUCUUGGCCCCUGCUGCUCCAUUUGCAAGAAAAGAUUACCAGUUUGCUCAGAAAACUGCUGAGGAUAUUGCUGCCCUCCUAGCUCCUCAGUCUGGGUUCUACUAUGAUAUGUGGGUGGAUGGUGAGAAAAUCAUGACUGCAGAACCUCCUGAGGUGGUGAAGGCCCGUAAUGAUAAUUCCCAUGGAACAAACUUCCCUGACUCACCGGAGCCUAUCUAUGGAGCCCAAUUCUUGCCUAGGAAGUUUAAGAUUGCAGUCACUGUACCAACAGAUAACUCUGUGGAUAUUCUCACAAAUGAUGUUGGUAUUGUUGUGGUUACUGAUGUAAAUGGGGAGCCUCAGGGGUUCAACAUAUAUGUUGGUGGUGGUAUGGGAAGGACACAUAGGUUGGAGACCACCUUCCCACGCCUGGCUGAACCAUUGGGUUAUGUACCAAAAGCAGAUAUUCUAUAUGCAGUGAAAGCUAUUGUUGUUACCCAACGAGAAAAUGGGAGGAGAGAUGAUCGUAAAUAUAGCAGAAUGAAAUAUUUGAUUAGUUCCUGGGGGAUUGAGAAGUUCAGAAGUGUCGUUGAGCAAUAUUAUGGAAAGAAAUUUGAGCCUUUUCGUGAGUUGCCUGAGUGGGAAUUCAAAAGUUACUUGGGAUGGCAUGAGCAGGGCAAUGGGGUUUUGUUUUGUGGGCUUCACGUUGAUAAUGGUCGUAUUGGGGGGAAAAUGAAGAAAACAUUGAGAGAGAUAAUAGAGAAGUACAAUUUAGAUGUGCAACUGACACCAAACCAGAAUAUCAUCUUGUGUGGUAUUCGCAAGGCAUGGAAGCGCCCCAUCACUGCAACUCUUGCACAAGCUGGAUUGCUGCAACCCAAGUAUGUAGAUCCCCUCAAUUUAACAGCAAUGGCAUGCCCAGCAAUGCCACUUUGCCCACUGGCAAUAACUGAAGCUGAACGGGGAAUACCUGACAUCCUCAAACGGGUUAGGGCUGUGUUUGAGAAGGUGGGCCUCAAGUACAAUGAAUCUGUGGUAAUAAGGAUUACAGGUUGUCCCAAUGGUUGUGCUCGACCAUACAUGGCUGAACUUGGAUUUGUUGGUGAUGGUCCCAAUAGUUAUCAGAUUUGGCUUGGGGGAGCACCUAAUCAAACUGCACUGGCAAGAAGCUUCAUGAAUAAGGUUAAGGUGCAAGAACUUGAAAAAGUUCUGGAACCUCUGUUCUAUCACUGGAAACGGAAAAGGCAAUCCAAAGAAUCAUUUGGCGACUUCACAACCCGCAUGGGAUUUGAGAAACUUCAGGAGUGGGUUGACAAAUGGGAAGGUGUUGUGUCUACACCACCCAAGUACAACCUGAGGCUCUUUGCUGAUAAAGAUACAUAUGAUAAAAUUGAUGAACUUGCGAAGUUGCAGAAUAAGACUGCUCACCAGUUAGCCAUGGAAAUUAUUCGCAAUUAUGCUGCUGCUCAGCAAAAUGGGAAAGGGGAAUGAGGUGUUCAUGUGCAUCAUACAAGAUAUAUUGCUACCGAGCAAAAUGACUAAGUUUAAUUUGAAAGAAUUGUGCCACAAUUAGCAGUUCUAGAUAACUAAGUGCAGAAGCUUCGUCGAAUCUUCUUGUACACUUCUUGAUGGCAACCAUGGUGCAUGAUCACAGUUUUUGCAGAUGUAGAAUCAGCCUUGAUCAACAAUUAGCAGUUCUUUUC
Manihot esculenta (cassava) is the source of this 2431-nucleotide RNA transcript. It is a transcript of the gene named sulfite reductase [ferredoxin], chloroplastic, with no coding region annotated. Lineage: Eukaryota; Viridiplantae; Streptophyta; Magnoliopsida; Malpighiales; Euphorbiaceae. The transcript has 9 exons. The record is from RefSeq and is a predicted model, not a curated record.